UCAGACGAUGCGUCAUGCAUAUCAAUAAGCGGAGGAAAAGAAACUAACAAGGAUUCCCCUAGUAACGGCGAGCUGAAGCGGGAAGAGCUCAAAUUUGAAAUCUUAAAGGGUUUCCCUUUACGAAUUGUAGUUUAAAGAAGUGUUUUCUGUUGAGGUUUUGGUAAAAGUUCUUUGGAAUAGGACAUCAUAGAGGGUGAGAAUCCCGUAUUUGACCUUUACUUUCAACUUUGUGAUACACUUUCAAAGAGUCGGAUUGUUUGGGAAUGCAGUCCAAAAUGGGUGGUAAAUUUCAUCUAAAGCUAAAUAUUGGCGAGAGACCGAUAGCGAACAAGUACCGUGAGGGAAAGAUGAAAAGAACUUUGAAAAGAGAGUUAAACAGUACGUGAAAUUGUCAAAAGGGAAGCGUUUGACACCAGUGCUGUUUUUCUGAAAAUCAAUUAAAGAACUGUUUAUGCUAAGCUGUUUAGACUUUAUCAGCUAUCUGUUUAGUUUUGAGCUUUUCUUUAAUGCACUUUUCAGUUAACAAGUCAACAUCAAUUUCUUUUGCUGUAAAAAAGCUUGAGGAAGGUGGCUUGAGAUUCGUCUUAAGUGUUUAUAGCCUCUUGCCUAUGCAGUCGGAGAGAUUGAGGUCUGCAGCGUAGAUCCUUCGGGGCUAAAUGCAUUUGUGCUAAGUUAUAGCAUUUUAUAGACAACUUGUUGACUAUGAUUUGUCUUGUAGCUUACUCGCUUAUGUUAUUUUACCUACGCUUAGGAUGUUGACACACGCGCGUGCUCG
RNAcentral lists this ribosomal RNA (775 nucleotides) under uncultured Neocallimastigales. RNAcentral's name for it is "partial large subunit ribosomal RNA". It matches the Rfam family "Eukaryotic large subunit ribosomal RNA", at positions 18 to 643 of the family's 3401-position model. The record is from RNAcentral. Lineage: Eukaryota; Fungi; Neocallimastigomycota; Neocallimastigomycetes; Neocallimastigales.